AGUGAACGCUGGCGGUAGGCCUAACACAUGCAAGUCGAACGGCAGCACAGUAAGAGCUUGCUCUUACGGGUGGCGAGUGGCGGACGGGUGAGGAAUACAUCGGAAUCUACUUUUUCGUGGGGGAUAACGUAGGGAAACUUACGCUAAUACCGCAUCCGCCCUACGGGUGAAAGCAGGGGAUCUUCGGACCUUGCGCGAUUGAAUGAGCCGAUGUCGGAUUAGCUAGUUGGCGGGGUAAAGGCCCACCAAGGCGACGAUCAGUAGCUGGUCUGAGAGGAUGAUCAGCCACACUGGAGCUGAGACACGGUCCAGACUCCUACGGGAGGCAGCAGUGGGGAAUAUUGGACAAUGGGCGCAAGCCUGAUCCAGCCAUACCGCGUGGGUGAAGAAGGCCUUCGGGUUGUAAAGCCCUUUUGUUGGGAAAGAAAAGAAGAAGGUUAAUACCCCGCUGUUCUGACGGUACCCAAAGAAUAAGCACCGGCUAACUUCGUG
Molecule: ribosomal RNA, 492 nt
Filed under: uncultured bacterium
Lineage: Bacteria
Description: partial 16S ribosomal RNA
Rfam family: Bacterial small subunit ribosomal RNA
Source: RNAcentral